UCACACUUGUACUUCUUAGCAUGUGGUACAGGGAUGCUCAGCAGUGCAAGUGUGACA
This 57-nucleotide microRNA precursor is filed under the name Branchiostoma floridae (Florida lancelet). RNAcentral describes it as "Bfl-Mir-4866_pre stem-loop". The record is from RNAcentral. Lineage: Eukaryota; Metazoa; Chordata; Leptocardii; Amphioxiformes; Branchiostomatidae.